GACGAACGCUGGCGGCGUGCUUAACACAUGCAAGUCGAACGGAAAGGCCCUGCUUUUGUGGGGUGCUCGAGUGGCGAACGGGUGAGUAACACGUGAGUAACCUGCCCUUGACUUUGGGAUAACUUCAGGAAACUGGGGCUAAUACCGGAUAGGAGCUCCUGCUGCAUGGUGGGGGUUGGAAAGUUUCGGCGGUUGGGGAUGGACUCGCGGCUUAUCAGCUUGUUGGUGGGGUAGUGGCUUACCAAGGCUUUGACGGGUAGCCGGCCUGGGAGGGUGACCGGCCACAUUGGGACUGAGAGACGGCCCAGACUCCUACGGGAGGCAGCAGUGGGGAAUAUUGCACAAUGGGCGGAAGCCUGAUGCAGCAACGCCGCGUGCGGGAUGACGGCCUUCGGGUUGUAAACCGCUUUCGCCUGUGACGAAGCGGGAGUGACGGUAAUGGGUAAAGAAGCACCGGCUAACUACGUG
This 468-nucleotide ribosomal RNA is filed under the name uncultured bacterium. RNAcentral describes it as "partial 16S ribosomal RNA". It matches the Rfam family "Bacterial small subunit ribosomal RNA", at positions 28 to 507 of the family's 1533-position model. The record is from RNAcentral.